Molecule: long non-coding RNA, 234 nt
Filed under: Gossypium raimondii (Peruvian cotton)
Lineage: Eukaryota; Viridiplantae; Streptophyta; Magnoliopsida; Malvales; Malvaceae
Description: long non-coding RNA (GRAI_LNC002218)
Source: RNAcentral
GUAAAGGGUGAGAAGUAAAAGUUUAGGGGAAAAAUAAAAAGUUUUGGGGAAUAAAAGUUUGAGGGAAAGUAAAUAGGGGGAGUAAAAUUUUGGAGGGAAAAUAUUAAAAAAAAAUUGGAGGGGGGAGGGUUUGGGAUAGAUGGGAGGUGAGAUGGGAAGAGAAUAAAAGUUUUAGGGGAAAAGUGGGAGGGAGUAAAAAUUUUGGGGGAAAAUAAAAGAUUUUAAGGGUUUUUG